This 603-nucleotide ribosomal RNA is filed under the name Rhizoctonia sp. CNPAF_0143. RNAcentral describes it as "eukaryotic LSU rRNA". The stretch from base 211 to 364 matches the Rfam family "5.8S ribosomal RNA". The record is from RNAcentral. Lineage: Eukaryota; Fungi; Basidiomycota; Agaricomycetes; Cantharellales; Ceratobasidiaceae.
CUGCGGAAGGAUCAUUAAUGAACUUGUGGUUGUUGCUGGCUAGUGUCUCUAGCAUGUGCACACGCACCUUCAUCCCACUUACACCUGUGCACCUUUUGUAGUAGUGUUUUGAAAGGGGGAGUUAAUUCUCUCUUCUGGAUCUCCUACUAUGUUUUUUACACACACACACAAAUAGUCAUUGAAUGUCAUUUGAUUUUAUAUUGAAAAAACAACUUUCAACAACGGAUCUCUUGGCUCUCGCAUCGAUGAAGAACGUAGCGAAUUACGAUAUGUAAUGUGAAUUGCAGAAUUCAGUGAAUCAUCGAAUCUUUGAACGCAUCUUGCGCUCUCUGGUAUUCCGGAGAGCAUGCCUGUUUGAGUGUCAUGAAUCUCUCAAAUACAAAACUUUAUUGUUUUUGUGUUUGGACUUGGAAGCUUGUCGGCGCAAGUCGACUCUUCUUAAAUGCAUUAGCUGGGGUUUAUAUAGUGGAUCCUUGGUGUGAUAAUUAUCUACGCCUUGAAGUCCCUGUAGACCUUGCUUCAAAUCGUCUUGUUAUGAGACAAUAUUUGAAUCAUCUGGCCUCAAAUCAGGUAGGACUACCCGCUGAACUUAAGCAUAUCAUA